Long non-coding RNA from Oreochromis aureus, 350 nucleotides. Lineage: Eukaryota; Metazoa; Chordata; Actinopteri; Cichliformes; Cichlidae. The record is from Ensembl.
GGCACAUUUCACGAAGCAAAACGCAGUCUUCAGAGAUCUCUACGUGAACACUGUGAUACGUCUGACCUUCAGUCCGAAGCAGAAACCCAGACCAGUCUUAAAAGAAAGCACAAACCAAAUCCCCUGUACACAUAUACGGACUCAGAGGAUGAGCACCAUACUCGAGCCCCUCGAGUGAAAAUACCAGCCCUCACCACUCCGCAGUCUGCCCCCCAGCCCACUGAUAGCAACCAUCAUAAUGCCCCACCCAGCUUCCGGCACCUUUCGCCACUCCGGCACAACACACAAACCAACACAGCUUUGCGAUCUCCCCAGCAUGCAGUCUGAUGUCGAUGUCUUCCCUAUAGAUG